CACGUAGGCGGGUAAUUAAGUCGGGUGUGAAAUCCCUCGGCCCAACCGAGGAACUGCGCCCGAUACUGGUUACCUUGAGGGCAGGAGGGGAGCGUGGAAUUCCUGGUGGAGCGGUGAAAUGCGUUGAUAUCAGGAGGAACACCGGUGGCGAAGGCGACGCUCUGGCCUGCUUCUGACGCUGAGGUGCGAAAGCCAGGGGAGCAAACG
This 207-nucleotide ribosomal RNA is filed under the name uncultured bacterium. Its description in RNAcentral is "partial 16S ribosomal RNA". It matches the Rfam family "Bacterial small subunit ribosomal RNA", at positions 568 to 774 of the family's 1533-position model. The record is from RNAcentral.